RNAcentral lists this ribosomal RNA (465 nucleotides) under uncultured organism. RNAcentral describes it as "bacterial SSU rRNA". It matches the Rfam family "Bacterial small subunit ribosomal RNA", at positions 28 to 507 of the family's 1533-position model. The record is from RNAcentral.
GACGAACGCUGGCGGCGUGCUUAACACAUGCAAGUCGAACGGUAAGGCCCUUUUGGGGGUACACGAGUGGCGAACGGGUGAGUAACACGUGAGUAACCUGCCCCAGUCUCUGGGAUAACAGCCGGAAACGGUUGCUAAUACCGGAUAUUCAGCUUCUGCCGCAUGGUGGUUGUUGGAAAGUUCCGGCGGUCUGGGAUGGACUCGCGGCCUAUCAGCUUGUUGGUGAGGUAGUGGCUCACCAAGGCUUCGACGGGUAGCCGGCCUGAGAGGGUGACCGGCCACAUUGGGACUGAGAUACGGCCCAAACUCCUACGGGAGGCAGCAGUGGGGAAUAUUGCACAAUGGACGGAAGUCUGAUGCAGCAACGCCGCGUGCGGGAUGACGGCCUUCGGGUUGUAAACCGCUUUCAUCCAUGACGAAGCGAGAGUGACGGUAGUGGGAGAAGAAGCACCGGCUAACUACGUG